UACGUAGGGGGCAAGCGUUGUCCGGAUUUAUUGGGCGUAAAGCGCGUGUAGGCGGCUUGGCAAGUCUGCUGUGAAAACUCGAGGCUCAACCUCGAGCUGUCGGCGGAAACUGCUUGGCUAGAGUCCGGAAGAGGAGAGUGGAAUUCCUGGUGUAGCGGUGAAAUGCGCAGAUAUCAGGAAGAACACCUAUGGCGAAGGCGGCUCACUGGCCCGGUACUGACGCUCAGGUGCGAAAGCGUGGGGAGCAAACAGG
Molecule: ribosomal RNA, 253 nt
Filed under: uncultured bacterium
Lineage: Bacteria
Description: partial 16S ribosomal RNA
Rfam family: Bacterial small subunit ribosomal RNA
Source: RNAcentral